This 277-nucleotide non-coding RNA is filed under the name Phascolarctos cinereus (koala). The record is from RNAcentral. Lineage: Eukaryota; Metazoa; Chordata; Mammalia; Diprotodontia; Phascolarctidae.
GCAGGGCAUGGAGGCAUAUACACUUGUAAUCCCAGCUGCUGGAGAGGCUGAAACUUGUAGAUUUCUUGAGUUUAGGAAUUCUGAAUUGCAGUGGGCUAUGCCAAUCAGGUGUCCAUAAUAAGUUUGGCAUCGAUAUGGUAAGCCUUUGGGAACAGGGAGUAAUCAGCCCAGGUUGGAAACAGAGGAUGCCAAACAAAGCUCCUAUACUGAUCGCUAGUGGGAUUAGCUCUGUGAGUAGCUCCUGAAUUUCAGGUCUAGUUGGGUAGAACAAGUCUCU